RNAcentral lists this ribosomal RNA (253 nucleotides) under uncultured bacterium. RNAcentral's name for it is "partial 16S ribosomal RNA". It matches the Rfam family "Bacterial small subunit ribosomal RNA", at positions 524 to 776 of the family's 1533-position model. The record is from RNAcentral.
UACGUAGGGGGCAAGCGUUGUCCGGAAUCAUUGGGCGUAAAGAGCGUGUAGGCGGCUCGAUAAGUCUGCUGUGAAAGUCCAGGGCUCAACCCUGGAAGGCCGGUGGAAACUGUCGGGCUAGAGUCCGGAAGAGGCGAGUGGAAUUCCCGGUGUAGCGGUGAAAUGCGUAGAUAUCUGGAGGAACACCGAUGGCGAAGGCAGCCCCCUGGGUCAAGACUGACGCUCAUGCACGAAAGCGUGGGGAGCAAACAGG